CGUUUGUUUAGCUGGGUGGGAAGCCGAGCCCCGCCUGCCCGGGCCGGGAUUUUUCCAUCAGCCCCGCUGGAUUUUUCUAGGCGCUUCGUAGCAAAGUCUCUUGACGCGCGGGGUAUGCCCUGGUUUUAGAAUUUAUAUCCCCGGGGCUCCGUUAGGGAGCGCAGUGCCACGAACGCGAUCGGAGCUGGCUCCGAACUACACCCAGAAUGCCGCAAGUUUAUAGGAAAAUGAGCUAAUACCCUACCAAUGAAUGAAAAUAUAUAUGAACUUACGCUUUGGAUGACGUGAAUGAAACAUAUCCAGAAAGCAAACCUUAGAAGUUUUUGUUUUCAUGGUCUCCUUUCUCCGUCAUGACUUCAAGAGGCUUCAGGAAACUGAUAACAUACGAAAAAUAUCCAACUGUAACCCUGAGUUACCCAAGACCUAAGACAAGCCAGGUGUGGGGACAUUAGUGACGAUGAGAAAUAAGGGGCAACAGGGCUGUUGCUCCUUUGGAACCCCACUCAAGGGCUGCAAGUGAGUGUGAGAUCAUCUCCUCGGCUGUUCCUCCCCAAGAGAGUAGAAGUCAUGGGGCUGAGAACCUCAAUCUUUUUCUCAACAGAGCCAACAGGAGCAGUGAAGAAGGUACCCUGAUAUAUUACCAAGAAGAUCAAGGAGGAAAACAUCGCAGGAACAGGUAUUUCGAGACAUUUGUGCACAUCUGGAAAUAUAAAGCUACAUUUAAACACUAG
RNAcentral lists this long non-coding RNA (731 nucleotides) under Manacus vitellinus (golden-collared manakin). RNAcentral describes it as "lncRNA (ENSMVIG00005007579.1)". Lineage: Eukaryota; Metazoa; Chordata; Aves; Passeriformes; Pipridae. The record is from RNAcentral.